This 76-nucleotide transfer RNA is filed under the name Alphaproteobacteria bacterium. RNAcentral describes it as "tRNA-His". It matches the Rfam family "tRNA". From Rfam's summary of the family: Transfer RNA (tRNA) molecules are approximately 80 nucleotides in length. Their secondary structure includes four short double-helical elements and three loops (D, anti-codon, and T loops). The record is from RNAcentral. Lineage: Bacteria; Pseudomonadati; Pseudomonadota; Alphaproteobacteria.
GCGACUGUAGCUCAGUUGGUAGAGCCCCCGGUUGUGGUCCGGGUUGUCGCGGGUUCGAGUCCCGUCAGUCGCCCCA